This is a long non-coding RNA of Hibiscus syriacus, 594 nucleotides long. RefSeq lists it as uncharacterized. Lineage: Eukaryota; Viridiplantae; Streptophyta; Magnoliopsida; Malvales; Malvaceae. The record is from RefSeq and is a predicted model, not a curated record. The transcript is spliced from 3 exons.
AAAGGGGAAAGAAAACCAAUUCUUUUCCUUUUAGUGGCUAACUUUAUUUCUUCAUCUUUACUACUACUCUGUUUUUAUACCAUGUUUUUAAGUUUGAAAAUGGAACAUUCAUCGGACCGUAGUCAACAUGCACCUUCACCUCCCCCUCCUCCUAGAUUGGAAGUCCAUGAAGAUGAAGAAAGUAAUGGUGGCUAAAGAACUGGUCAAACCUUGCUUCACCAGGAGCGGCAACAGCAACAACAUUCUUCUUGGGCGUCUUAUCAUCUCAAUAUAUCAAUAUAUGAUGUGCUAAGUUUUGAUAGGAUUAUGAAUGAUGAUGUUUGGUCUUGCGGCGUUGUUCUUAUCACAUUUUGUGUUUUGGCAUCCAUGAUAAUGAUUCUGGGUUCUUAUGGAUCUGUGACUUUACAAAUGGGUCCAAAUUUCUCACGCCUUUUACAAGCUAACUCUUUAUUUGUUCAGUCUAUUCAGUUUGAAGAUUUGGAUGAGCAAAACCUGGGUUAAUGGUGUAUGGAUUUCACAGACCACCUCCUUUAGAUGUUGUAAUCUCCUGGUCUGAAACACAUGACAUCAUUAUACCUGCAAAAUUCCACAAGG